UACGAAGGGGGCUAGCGUUGCUCGGAAUUACUGGGCGUAAAGGGCUCGUAGGCGGCCAACUAAGUCGGACGUGAAAUCCCUCAGCUUAACUGGGGAACUGCGUCCGAUACUGGAUGGCUUGGAUUCGGGAGAGGAAUGCGGAAUUCCAGGUGUAGCGGUGAAAUGCGUAGAUAUCUGGAGGAACACCGGUGGCGAAGGCGGCAUUCUGGACCGACAUUGACGCUGAGGAGCGAAAGCCAGGGGAGCAAACGGG
Molecule: ribosomal RNA, 253 nt
Filed under: uncultured bacterium
Lineage: Bacteria
Description: partial 16S ribosomal RNA
Rfam family: Bacterial small subunit ribosomal RNA
Source: RNAcentral